RNAcentral lists this ribosomal RNA (449 nucleotides) under uncultured bacterium. RNAcentral describes it as "partial 16S ribosomal RNA". It matches the Rfam family "Bacterial small subunit ribosomal RNA", at positions 28 to 523 of the family's 1533-position model. The record is from RNAcentral.
GACGAACGCUGGCGGCAGGCUUAACACAUGCAAGUCGAACGGGCACUUCGGUGUCAGUGGCAGACGGGUGAGUAACACGUGGGAACGUACCUUUUGGUUCGGAACAACUGAGGGAAACUUCAGCUAAUACCGGAUAAGCCCUUACGGGGCAAGAUUUAUCGCCGAAAGAUCGGCCCGCGUCUGAUUAGCUAGUUGGUAGGGUAAUGGCCUACCAAGGCGACGAUCAGUAGCUGGUCUGAGAGGAUGAUCAGCCACAUUGGGACUGAGACACGGCCCAAACCCCUACGGGAGGCAGCAGUGGGGAAUAUUGGACAAUGGGGGCAACCCUGAUCCAGCCAUGCCGCGUGAGUGAUGAAGGCCCUAGGGUUGUAAAGCUCUUUUGUGCGGGAAGAUAAUGACGGUACCGCAAGAAUAAGCCCCGGCUAACUUCGUGCCAGCCGCCGCAGUAA